This 783-nucleotide non-coding RNA is filed under the name Megaporus rufipes. The record is from RNAcentral. Lineage: Eukaryota; Metazoa; Arthropoda; Insecta; Coleoptera; Dytiscidae.
AAAAAGUUUAAUUCUGGUUUAGAGGUUUACUAAAUUUUUUAUUUACAUGUAAAUUAAAGUGAGAAUGAAAAGUUAGUUUAAAUAGUUAAUUUUGGUAGUUUUAUUCGCAGUAUAAAAAUUUAAAAAUUUAAGAAAUUAAGAAUUAUGAAUAAAUUUUAAUAUUAACAAAAUUUGUGCCAGCAGUUGCGGUUAUACAAAAAAUGUAAGUAAGUUUUAUUAGUAAAUAAUAAGAUGUUUUUUUUUAAUAAAAAUUAGAUUUAUAUGGUGAAAUAUAAAAUUUAAAAUAUUUAUUAAUAAAUUUAUUGAAAUUAUGAAAUUUAAUUUUUAAACUAGGAUUAGAUACCCUAUUAUUUUAAAUAUAAAUAAAUUAUACUUAAUUAGUAGUAGUUAUGUUCUUUAAAUUUAAAGAUUUUGGCGGUGUUUUAGUCUAUUCAGAGGAACCUGUUCUGUAAUUGAUAGUCCACGAUAAAUUAUACUUAAUUUAUAAAUUUGUAUAUCGUCGUUAUUAAAUAUUUUAUAAGAAUUUUAAUGUUUAAGAUUUUAUAUUAAAUAAUAUAUCAGAUCAAGGUGCAGUUAAUAAUUAAGAAGAAAUGGGUUACAUUAAAUUUAUUUACUAUGGAAUUAUAUAUGAAAAUUUGUAAUGAAGGUGGAUUUGAUAGUAAUGGAAUUUAUAUAAAUUUUGUGAUUUUAGCUCUAAGAUGUGUACAUAUCGCCCGUCGCUUUUAUUAUAAGAUAAAAUAAGUCGUAACAAAGUAGAUGUACUGGAAAGUGUAUCUAGAAUGA